This 75-nucleotide transfer RNA is filed under the name bacterium. RNAcentral describes it as "tRNA-Glu". It matches the Rfam family "tRNA". Rfam says of the family: Transfer RNA (tRNA) molecules are approximately 80 nucleotides in length. Their secondary structure includes four short double-helical elements and three loops (D, anti-codon, and T loops). The record is from RNAcentral. RNAcentral also lists the same sequence under 4 other names.
GGUGGUAUCGUCUAACGGUUAGGACGCAAGAUUCUCAAUCUUGUAAUCUGGGUUCGAUUCCCAGUAUCACUACCA